UUUUGUGAUAUUGAGUAUAUGAAUUAUUUAUAUAUUUUGAUAUUAACAUCUUAUGCAUAUUUAUAAAUAUUUUUUCCCAUGGAGUAGGCAGCCUUUCCAUUUUCUUGAUGGUUUCCUUUGCUGUGCCAAAGCUUUUAAGUUUGAUUAGGUCCCAUUUGUUUAUUUUUUGCUUUUGUUUCCCUUGCCUGAGGGGACCUCCAAAAAAGUAUUGCUAAGACCAGUGUCAAAGAGCAUACCACCUAUAUUUUCUUCCAGGAGUUUUAUGGUUUUAGGUCUUCCAUUUAAGUCUUUAAUCCAUUUUAAGUUUAUUUUUGUAUACGAUAUGAAAAUAUAUUCUAAUUUUAUUCUUUUGCAUGUAUUGUCCAGUUUCUCAGCAUCACUUCUUGGAGAGACUGUCUUUUCCCCAAUCUGUAUGCUUACCUCCCGUGUCAUAGAUUAGCUGACCGUAAGUGUGUGGAGUUUAUUAGGGGCUUUAUAUUCUGUUCCACUGAUCUAUGUGUCUGUUUUUGUGGCAGUACCAUACUAAUUUAAUUACUGUAGCUUUGUGAUAUAGUUUGAAAUCAGGGAGUGUGACCUCAUGCUUUGUUGUUUUUUCUCAACAUUGCUUUGACUAUUUGGGGUCUUUUGUGGUUCCAUCCAAAUUUUAGGAUUAUUUGUUCUAGUUCUGGUGAAAAGGUUGUGGGUAUUUUGAUAGAGAUUAUAGUAAAUUUGUAGAUGCUUUGGGUAGUAUAGACAUUUUAACAAUGUUAAUUCUUCCAGUCUGUAAACAUGAGACAUAUUUCCAUGUAUUUGCAUUGGUGCCCAUAAAAGAAGCCUGAGAGAUCUCCCUUAACCCCCUUCUGCCAUCUGAGAAUACAAGAAGUCUGAAAUAUAGAAGAAAUCCCUCACCAAACCAUGCUGGCACCCUAAUCUCAGACUUUCAGCCUCCUAAAACUGUGAAAAGUAAAUUUAUGCCUUUUAUAAACUGCUCAGUCUGUGGUAUUUUGUUACAGUAGCCAGAACAGAUGAGACACAUGAGUUCUAAACUAAUAAUAGAAACAUAUGUAAUCAGUGAACAGAAGGAUAAGGGUGGAACUAGUCAGUAGUAUGAAAGAGGGCAUUGUACUUUCAGAGGUGCUAUUUUCUUCUCAAGUAACCAGUGCAUAUUACUGUCCUAACACCUUCCAUAAUCAUUUCUUGCAAUUCUCUUUUUACUUUCUGUACGCUAGUUCGACUCUGAUUCCUAAGAGAAGACAAGAGGCCUUUAUCUAGCAUGAACCUGGUGCAAGUUUAGAGAAAGAAUGACUUUUUUUUUUUUUAAUGCAGGGUAGGAAGGAAGCAAAGUAGAAGAGACAGAAGGAGGGAAAGCCUGUGCAUGACAACCACUACUCUUUUGACAAUUUAAUGUCCAGCUGUUCUGUCAUUCUACUGUGGUGAUGGCUCUUUUAAGGUACCAUGGCCGUUAACGUGUGCCUGUCUCUAUAUGUGUGUGUGUGUGUGUGUGUGUGUGUGUCCAGUUGUCCCACUCCUGUCCCAUCUGUCUCUAUAUAGGCAUACUUUGGAGGUAUUACUAGUUAGGUUCCAGACCGCAAGAAAGUGAAUAUCACAGUAGAGCAAGUCAUGUAUUUUUUACAAUUUGUGAGCACAAAUAUAAGUUUUAUUUAAACUAUAGUGUAUUAAGUGUACAGUAGCAUUUUUUCUUUAAAAAGUUCAUACUGUAACUAAGAUGAUCUGAGCCUUCCGUGAGUUGUAAUCAUUUUGCUUGUGGAUGGUCUUGGCUAGAUACUGCUGACUGCUGACUGAUCAGGAUGGUGGUUGCUAAAAGUUGGGAUGGCUGUGGCAAUUUCUUUAAACAAGACAACAGUGUUGUUUGUUGCAUUGAUUGACUCUUCCUUUCAUGAACACUUUCUCUAUAGCACACAGUGCUCUUUGAUAGCAUUUUACCCACAAUAGAACUUCUUUCAAAAUUGGAGUCAAUCCUCUUAAACUCUGCUUUAGCAAGUAAUUUUAUAUAAUAUUCUAGAUCCUUUUGUCAUUUAAGUAGUCUUCACAGCAUCUUCACCAGGACUAGUUUCCAUCUCAAAAAACCAUUUUCAUUGUUCAUCCAUAAGUAGUAACUCCUCACACAUUAAAUGUUAUCAUGAAUUAUAGCAAAUCUUCAUCUUCACCUUCUACUUCUAAUACUAGUUCUUUUGCUAUUUCUACCACAUCUGCAGUUACUUCUUCCGCUAAAGUCUUGAACCUCUCCAAACCAUCUGUGAGAGUUAGUAUCAAAUUCAUAUCUCCAACUUUCUCACUUUAUAUUUCUUCAUUCAGCUUUUAUAUUCCUAGCAAUAAGGUUUUACACCAUCUCAGUUUAAAUACUUUUCAAACUCCACAACACCCUGCAUAUCACAAAGUCAAAUGGGACUUUUUCUCUUAUUCAUUUGUUCUACUGACCAUUACUUUUCCCUGAAACUUAGCUCGAAAUCAUUCUCUCCCUACCUCUGUAUCAUCUUCUGGAUCCACUUUGUCCUCAAAUCAUUUUUUUGGUCUUUUGUCUUUUUAGGGCCAUGCCUGUGGCACACUGAGGUGCCCAGGCUAGGGGGCUAAUAGGAGCUGUAGCCUCCAGCCUACACUACAGCCAUUGCAAUGCCAGAUCUGAGCUAUGUCUGCAACCUACACCACAGCUCACAGCAACGCCAGAUCCUUAACCAACUGAGCAGGGCCAAGGAUCAAACCCACAACCUCAUGGUUUCUAGUCGGAUUCGUUUCCACCGCACCAUGGCAGGAACUCCUGUCCUCAAAUCUUAAGCUGCAGUUUCUGUUUCCUAGGCAUCUUUUCUCAGCCCUCUUUUCUUUUUAUUUUAUACUAUCUCCUUAAAAAAACAUGUACAUAAUUGUUCUUUUCAAAUAACUACUGAAGCUCAUGGAUAAACUAAACUCUUUAUCUUUAUCCCCAAACUAAUUUAUUUUAUAAUCUACCCUGAUUGCUUUUAUAGCACCAGGUUGUUGUUAUCUAAGGCUUACUUCAGGUUUCUUCUGCCCAGUCUGAAAAUUAAGCUUUGUUUUUUUCUUUUUUCAUUAGAAAUACUAAGAUAUAUAACCUGCAAAUAUUCAUGUUAUUUUAUUUGGAUCCUUUAAUCUCCUAACUACUCUCUCUGCCUUCAAACUUGAAUCUCACUCUCCAAUUCUCUAUGAGCAAUUCUUAUUUAACCACCUUUGUUAAAAUCUUAUGAUAUCCCCUCUAAUUUUGAACACAAAAAUAACAAAUUUUUCAGCUUAACAGUAAAGAGUACUCAUGAUUUGACUACAUUUUCAUUUUUAAUCUCCCUGUAAUCCUCCAUUCAAUACUGUAUUCAAGAAAAAAACUACAUGCACUCUCCUGAAUUUGUUGUUUCUAUCAUUUGUUUUUUAAAAAAUAUGCUGUUUCUUCUUUUGAAAGUGUCAUAAUUUCUAAUGCACUCCAGUAAAGUCCAAUGUAUCCUUCAAAAAGGAAAGAAAUUGGAGUUCCCAUUGUGGUUCAAUGGAAACGAACCCAACUAGUAUCCAGAGGACACAAAUUCAGUCCCUGGCCUUGCUCAGUGGGUUAAGGAUCUGGCAUUGCCAUGAGAUGUGGUGUGGGUCACAGAUGCAGCACGGAUCUAAUGUUGCUGUGGCUGUGGCAUAGACCAGCAGCUAUAGUUCUGAUUUGACCUCUAGCCUAGGAACCUCCAU
This 3675-nucleotide long non-coding RNA is filed under the name Sus scrofa (pig). RNAcentral describes it as "lncRNA (ENSSSCG00000055580.1)". Lineage: Eukaryota; Metazoa; Chordata; Mammalia; Artiodactyla; Suidae. The record is from RNAcentral.